UGGGGAAUAUUGGACAAUGGGCGCAAGCCUGAUCCAGCAACGCCGCGUGGAGGAUGAAGGUCUUCGGAUCGUAAACUCCUGUCAGACGGGACGAAGGUACGGGGGCAAAUAGUCUUCGUGCUUGACGGUACCGUCAGAGGAAGCCCCGGCUAACUCCGUGCCAGCAGCCGCGGUAAUCCGGAGGGGGCUAGCGUUAUUCGGAAUUAUUGGGCGUAAAGGGCGCGUAGGCGGCCCGGUAAGUCAAAGGUGAAAUCCCUCGGCUCAACUGAGGAACUGCCUUUGAAACUGUCGGGCUUGAGGCCGGGAGGGGGUAGCGGAAUUCCCAGUGUAGCGGUGAAAUGCGUAGAUAUUGGGAGGAACACCAGUGGCGAAGGCGGCUCACUGGCCCGGUACUGACGCUGAGGUGCGAAAGCGUGGGGAGCAAAC
RNAcentral lists this ribosomal RNA (426 nucleotides) under uncultured bacterium. RNAcentral describes it as "bacterial SSU rRNA". It matches the Rfam family "Bacterial small subunit ribosomal RNA", at positions 355 to 773 of the family's 1533-position model. The record is from RNAcentral.